GUGAGUGUAACAGAACUCAUAUGGCAGGCAAAAACCUGAGAAAAAAUCCAACCAGGAAGUGGGAAAUUUGAGGUUUGUAGUUUUUUAAGGGGUCAACUUGCACUUUCCAAGGCUUCCACGAGAUGUCAACAGUCUUUAGAACCUUGUUUGAUGCUUCUACUGUGAAGGAGGAGGGAAUGAGUCAGAGGUCUGGCAGAGUGGCAUGAGCUGACCACCCGAGUUCAUGUGAGAGGUUGCUUGAGUGCCAUUGCAUUUCUGAAGACAAAGGAAUUCUCCGGUUGGAACAUUAUUGAAGAUGUAUGAUAACAUCCUAAAGAUUGCUUCUAUACAUCGUUUGACAUGUUUCUACGAACUGUAAUAUAACUUUUGGGAUUUUUCGUCUGAACUAAGCGAUCGCGCAUUGAGCAUUUGGAUUACUGAGCUAAACGCGCAAACAAAAAGGAGGUAUUUGGACAUAGACUUUAUCGAACAAAUCAAACAUUUAUUGUGGAACUGGGAUUCCUGGGAGUGCAUUCUGAUGAAGAUCAUCAAAAGGUGGUUUUUUUCAUCUUGGUUUUGUCCUGCAACUCUGGGGUCAAGCUGGAGGGCUGUAUCAAAUGGAGGGACAUCAGGAAUAACACAGGGCAGAAGAAUCCUAUCGAUGGAAUUAGCGUGAACACAGAUCACUUUCACAAGACUGUGUUCUCUAAAGAUCCAGAAAGCCAAGAUCCACGCCCUCUACAGAUGCCUGACUUCUAACAAAGCGGGACAAGAUUCACGAAUCAUCCUUUUCCAUUUGAUACGUAAGCUUCCUUUUGUGUCUUCUGUUCUUUUGGAGGGGCAGGUGCUCAAAGUGACCCCCCAAUAAUCAAAUUGCCCUGUACCCACAUUUAUGCAUAUAUAUUAGCAUAGGCCUUUAUUUUCUGCAAAAUCACACUGCUUUUGGAACAAUCUUAAUGAGCUAGUUUGAUGGGCAAUUCAUUUAAAUAACCAGAGAGAACAUACUAAAAGUGAAUUAAAAAUGUAAUAAUAAAAAACACCUCCAAUCUGAAGGUGCACUUUUCUCAAAUUAGGGCAAAAGGGCAGGUGCUCAGAACCCUUAGACCUCUAUCUGUGCAUGUGCCUGAUCGUGCAUUAGAACACAUGAUUGUGUAUGCGCUUGUGCAUGUGAUUAUUGACUCUACAGUUGGUGUUUAGCUGAGUGUGUCUCCGUCCCAGUAGCCCAUUGAGCAGGACCAGGUUAUUCUGAGGUAUAAGGCAGCUGAUCUAUGGAAAGCUAGCCUGGUUCCGUGUGGGGAAUGUGUCUGACCGAGAGCAGGUCCCAGCCAUGCAGCGCUGUCAGGCACUGUUCCUGUCCCAGAGGCCCCUAUCCCAGGCUGUCCUGUCUGGCCUGCAGGGCACCAACGUCACACUUGAGCUGCCCCUAACCGUGUCUCGGGGGGAUCAGGGGGUAUACGCCUGCCAGGUGGAGAACAUCAAGACUGGGGAGAGGACCUGCCUCCACCGACACCUCACCCUCAGAGCACUCGAGGCAGUGAGGAUCCUGAACAAUUUGACAGACCAGAGUGAAUGUCAGUGCCACGACCAUGCUAAUAUGUGAGGUGACCGGGACACCCACCCCGACAGUGACGUGGACCAAACACAACCAAAAAUUGGUGGAGGGCUCAGUUGUGAGUGGGAGGAGCACCUGACCGUGGAGGAACUGCUCAGCUACAGUUUCCAGGUAGCCAAGGGCAGGGAAUUCCUCUCCUCUCGCAAGUGCAACCAUCGGGACCUGGCAGCUAGGAACAUCCUGCUCUCAGAGAACAAUAUUGUAAAGAUCUGUGACUUUGGUCUGGCCAGAGACGUCUACAAAGAUCCCGACUACGUCUGUAUGAGCAAGAGGAGAUGAAUAGUCUGGACCAUCAGCCUCACCGCACGCCUAACCUCAGAUUCCUCAUGUCCUCCCCCAGCUACAUCCGGCAAUGUAAGAGUAAGGAGUCCCUGGCCUCUGAGUCGUCCAAUCAGAUGAGUGGGUACCAGUCAGGCUACCAUUCAGAUGCCACUGACACCCCCAUAUAUGCUAAUGUGGAGAUGAUCAUGAAGAGGAGCAUCCAGAAGAAGCCACUGCCGCCCAAAACUGCAGACAAGUUCAGUGUUAAGGUGCGCCACAGUGUCCGCCCUGUUUUUAUUCCCUAAUGGCCUCUAUCACUGGCACUGUUCCCCUGAAUGCCCACAAAAUAUACCUCUCUCCUUGAGCCUGAUUUUGUACAGUUUUCUGUCUUUACCCUCACCUUAGGCAGGACCCUCGGAUGACCAUCAGGAACAAUCUCAUCACAUGUGAAAGUGCCUUAUAUAUUGAAUUGUUUAUUCUGUUGGAGUAUUUUCACAAGAGAUAAAUGUAAUAUAUUCAAUGGGAAUGAUACAGGCUGUAGAAAACCCUCUCUAUGGCCCUGGGACACAGAGACAACUCUCUCUUCUAUCCGCACAAAGUAGGCGCUCCACCCACGCUGGAGCCUAAACCCACAGGUCAUAAACUGGCACUUCACACCGUGGGGUCAUCAUUUGGGGUCCAGAUCCCCAAUUCCUGCCUCUUUUUCAUAACCUUCAGUGGCAGCAUGAGGACAAACACUAGUGUUAGGACGAGUAGAAGUGGAUUGCACUAUCUUGCUAUGUUGGUGUGUGUGUGUGUUCUGUACGUCCAUCUUCUACUGGUCAUUACGACGCCUUCAAAUAGAGGCAUCGGGACGAUUGUACCGCUAUUUAACUCACACCUCUUUCGGAGACAUGGUGCUUUUUUUCAUAUGUGCUAAUUCAUGUUUGUAAAGACCACUGUUUUUAGCGAGCCUUUGGAAUGCGAUCAUGUUUAAACAGAAGAUCAGUGGAACCUAGCCACAGGGCCACACCCACUUCCUGAGAAGCAAUCCGCCCACUUCCUCUAUUGCAGGAAAUGGCAACUCGAAUUUGGGACAAUUGAAUGAGCAAAUGUUCUUUCCUUUUGUCAAUUGUGUCUUAUUGGACGAAGCCAGUCUACAUCAUGUGGUUUCAUCCAUUUUUGUAGAUUGUUCUUGCCUCUCAAUUGUACAGUUUCAUUACAAUCAUUUUUGCAUUUGUAAUAGUUAUUAGCUUAUUUUAUUGAAACCAAUAUCAACUUUAAUAAACUUGUAAAUGUAACGGCUUUCUUCUGUUGAAGGAGAGGCGGACCAAAACGCAGCGUGGUUAUUGUGAUACA
Long non-coding RNA from Oncorhynchus tshawytscha (Chinook salmon), 3190 nucleotides. RefSeq lists it as uncharacterized. The record is from RefSeq and is a predicted model, not a curated record. NCBI's taxonomy places the organism in Eukaryota, Metazoa, Chordata, Actinopteri, Salmoniformes, Salmonidae. The transcript is spliced from 6 exons.